AAAUAGGACUUUUGCAUUUUAUGCGAUUUAGUCAUUUUUCGCAAUUAAGCUCACAAACCCUAAAAUUAAACCACCAAAAUUUUCAUGAACCUUUAUAAACAUGCUAUCACACAUAAAAUAAUAUUAAAAAUAAUUUUUUGACCUCGGGUUAGUGGUCCCGAAACCACUGUUUCGACUAGGCCCAAAAUCGAGCUGUUACAAACCACUUGUAUCUUGAUUUUUGUUUCCAGAGCAUCUCCUCAUGGUGAAAAAUAUUCUCAAGCUCAUCUCGGACCAAUAGUUCAUGAUGAAAUAGAGAAUUAGACCCAGACAAAUCCAUGGCUUGUUGUAACUUGGAAAGCUUGUGCAGUAACUGCCUCUUUCAUUGGUUUAUGUAGCCGUAAACACAUUUGUUCCAACUUUUGAGCUUAUUAGUAAACCCAACAAUCACACUAGUCAUGUCACCAUCGAAUUUCCAAUUAUCCCUAACAAAAUUAGAAAAAUUCGGAUGGUGCCACCAUCUAACUAAAAACUGGAAGGGAUGCUCGGAUGGGGAAUUAAUAACAGAACAAAUAUUCAAAAACAACAGUCUAUGAUCUAAUUUAAUUCUUGGGAGAUGAGUAACCAAACAAUUUGGGAAAUACUCUAUCCAAGCUUCAUUUCCCACUACCCUAUCCAAUUUUUCAAAAAGAUUACCUCGAUG
Molecule: long non-coding RNA, 682 nt
Filed under: Gossypium barbadense (sea-island cotton)
Lineage: Eukaryota; Viridiplantae; Streptophyta; Magnoliopsida; Malvales; Malvaceae
Description: long non-coding RNA (GBAR_LNC004315)
Source: RNAcentral